UGGGUACUCACUGCAAUGGGACAAGUCCACAGAUGUUGCAGGACUUUCAAUUUUGUUGGUUUUUGUUAGAUAUAAUUUUCACAAACAGAUUGAAGAAGACUUGCUUCUGUGUGAAACUUUGAAAACUCAUACCACUGGUGAGAACAUCUUUAACUGUAUCCAGACAUUCAUGAGCACACAGUUUAAAUUGGGACAAAUGUGUAGAUGUGUGCAGUGAUGGUUCCAAAGCAGUGGUUGGAAAUGUGGCAGGCGCUGUGACACAAAUAAG
Non-coding RNA from Pelobates cultripes (western spadefoot toad), 268 nucleotides. The record is from the annotation of a GenBank genome assembly. Lineage: Eukaryota; Metazoa; Chordata; Amphibia; Anura; Pelobatidae.